Molecule: long non-coding RNA, 462 nt
Filed under: Pan troglodytes (chimpanzee)
Lineage: Eukaryota; Metazoa; Chordata; Mammalia; Primates; Hominidae
Description: long non-coding RNA NONPTRT015620
Source: RNAcentral
AACCAGAAUUUUCACUUUGGAGAAUGAAGGAAGAGGAUCAGAGAAAUCAAUAGGGCAGGAUUAGUUGUCUCACAAAGGUGAAGGUCAUUGCCUCUGUGCUGAAAGCAGCUCUAAGCACUAGCACUGUGCUUUGAGAAGAUGAUCGCACACUUCUUGUAUUAAAAUUAAUUGAACUGUACAAAUAUAUCUCAGAUCAUCUAUGCAAUGAUAAUCCAAUCUUAUAAGUUUCUUUUAGGUAAAACUAAUUUAGACUCUUCAAUGUUGCAAUCAUUUUUUUGGUAAAUUUGCUUUUUCUUUAUAAAAGUACCACAUGUUAACUAUGGAAAAUUUAGCAAAAAAUGAUGAAAAUAAAAUUCACCAAUAACUGUGCCACCUAUGCUCACCACAUUUAAUGUUUUGCUUCAUUUCCUGUAUGUCUUCUGUAAUGUUAUGUUUUACAAAUAUGGGAGUUAUUUAGACUGU